This 271-nucleotide ribosomal RNA is filed under the name uncultured bacterium. RNAcentral describes it as "partial 16S ribosomal RNA". It matches the Rfam family "Bacterial small subunit ribosomal RNA", at positions 793 to 1055 of the family's 1533-position model. The record is from RNAcentral.
GUCCUGGCAGUAAACGGUGCACGUUUGGUGUGGGAGGAUUCGACCCCUUCCGUGCCGGAGCUAACGCGUUAAACGUGCCGCCUGGGAAGUACGGCCGCAAGGUUAAAACUCAAAGAAAUUGACGGGGGCCCGCACAAGCGGUGGAGUAUGUGGCUUAAUUCGAUGCAACGCGAAGAACCUUACCUGGCCUUGACAUGCAAUGUGUCCUCGAUGAAAGUCGGGUAAUUGGUAGCAAUACCAAUGCUUUGCACAGGUGCUGCAUGGCUGUCGU